RNAcentral lists this long non-coding RNA (479 nucleotides) under Bos taurus (domestic cattle). Its description in RNAcentral is "long non-coding RNA NONBTAT025530". The record is from RNAcentral. Lineage: Eukaryota; Metazoa; Chordata; Mammalia; Artiodactyla; Bovidae.
AGAUAUUGGCUUCUUUUCUUUUGUUUAGAUCUUUUAGAAGCAAUCUCUAACUAAAACAUUCUUCUGCUUAAGAAUGAGGUAUUAGAAGAAAAAAUCAUUUUACUGAAGGACUUAGAGACUAGGACAUUAUUUAAAAAUUAUAAUGAGCUUUCUCUUGUGGAUCAUUAAGAAAAGAAUCUAUGUAAGAGUCAAAUGAGCAAAGAUAAUUUGGAUUUUAUAUAGAUUUAGGUGAAGGCACUGCAUGGAAAUUUCAAAUAGCCUUUUCCAUUUCUACGGCAGACACUCUUGGUUGUCAGCUUAAAAGCCAUCUGCCCAACAGGAUGAUGAGUUUGUUACAUUAAAAAAUCUUGUUUUUCAGUGAAGGUUGCAUUCCUGCACAGCUGAUAGCAGGUUCAGUUCAGUUCAGUAGCAGGUUAGUAAAUCAUAAUUAGUAUGAGCAAAUCUACAUAUAUUGUUGGUGAUCUGUGUACAAAUGGGUG